This 119-nucleotide ribosomal RNA is filed under the name Gadus morhua (Atlantic cod). The record is from RNAcentral. Lineage: Eukaryota; Metazoa; Chordata; Actinopteri; Gadiformes; Gadidae.
GCUUACGGCCAUACCACCUUAGGCACGCCCGAUCUCGUCUGAUCUCGGAAGCUAAGCAGGGUCGGGCCUGGUUAGUACUUGGAUGGGUGACCGCCUGGGAAUACCAGGUGCUGUAGCAU